CAGCUGUAAACGAUGCAGACUAGGUGUUUGGACGGCCACGUGCCGUUCUAGUGCCGCAGGGAAGCUGUUAAGUCUGCCGCCUGGGGAGUACGAUCGCAAGAUUGAAACUUAAAGGAAUUGGCGGGGGAGCACCACAAGGGGUGAAGCUUGCGGUUUAAUUGGACUCAACGCCGGAAAACUCAUCGGGAGCGACAGCAGUAUGAUUGCCAGGUUGAUGACCUUGCUUGACAAGCUGAGAGGAGGUGCAUGGCGUAGUCGUGU
This 261-nucleotide ribosomal RNA is filed under the name uncultured archaeon. RNAcentral's name for it is "partial 16S ribosomal RNA". It matches the Rfam family "Archaeal small subunit ribosomal RNA", at positions 748 to 1009 of the family's 1478-position model. The record is from RNAcentral.